GUGUUUGAAGAGGAGGGGCUCACUCUAAAUCUUGAAGAUGUUCAGCCUCGAAAAAGUAGAAGUCAUUGUGACCAAAGAUGAUGCCACCAAGCCCUUAAAAAGGUCUCAAAUGGAAGAACACGUUCAAGAAAGGUCGAUACUAUGUGUCUUAACGACUGAUCAUGGACUGAACCCUGCAUUGAAGUCAUUAAAGCCCGUUAUCAAUGCAGAUUCCUGGAGACGUCUCAGACUAAGAGAUUUAGCAAGUCUGAAACUGGAGCAAGGGACUCUGCAUUUAAACAACGUUUGCCCAUUAAAGUUUGAGCACCACUGAAAAACUCUCUCUUCUUCUCCUCUGUUCUUCCCAGCUACACAUCCCUAAUCUGUGGCCUGCAUUCAUCUUGCCACCGUUCCCCUCUGCCCCUCCACUCCUGAGGCCAUCAUCAUGAAGCCAGUGGGAAUGGCAAUGGAAGGACCCAGACAGGAAUAAGAUCACCUGGGCCUUCACCUUCCUUCGCUGGCCGAGAGCACUGCUCUUCUUCCACUUUUAUUUUAAUCUAGGACAUCCCCUAACUGGGCUCCUAAAGGCCCUGCUUCAUUUAAUUUGGCCUCCUGGCCCAAGCUGAAUCCUCGGCAAGCCUGGAAACUUAAUACCCUGAAUUCAAAUAAAGAUGCCUGGAAGAAACUGAGUGAAUCAGGUAGCUAAGAUUUGGCCUAAGUUGAUCUAAUUUUGGCCAAAGCCACCCUCCACUAAUAAAUAGGUCUCUGCUAAUAGACUUGCAAAGAUGGAGCUCUUAAUCAAUGCUAAAUAAGAGUUAUAAAUCAUAAAGACAUUUGCUGUCUUCGUACCUCCCAGGGUUGGGAGUGAAUGGGAGAGGACUCUGACCAUGAAGCUCUCUACUCUAAACUCAGAGAAAAUUCUCCGAGCCAUUCUUCUGCUCACAGAAUUUCCGCGGCACCAGUCUCCCUGCAGCUUUGACAAGUGAGCUAUUUUAGUACGAGAACAAGUAGAGUUAUUGUUAUCUCUGCUCUGAAUCAAGGAUAAAAAGAAAAGGUGAGCUGGAGAAGGAGGGUGUGAAAGAGAGGAACUGGGGGUGAGGUGAGGAAAAGCAGAAAGGACUUCAGAUACCAAAAGAAAAGGAGCCAGGUGCUCUUCCCAAGAAGGAAGUCACCCGCCGGCGGGUUUGUGGAUUGAAAUCAGCAUGUGACUCCACAGCAACCAUAGUAACAGUCCCUCCCUCUGGUCUCACAGGGCUCUGGAGGGGCAAAGACAGCAGGAUACAUGCCCAGGUGCUUCGUCAAUGGUGCAGUGUUGUCUGCACAGGGUGGCAGCUCCCUAUCUGCGACCCGGGGGCGACUGUGCCUUUCCCACAGCCCCACCAAAGACUCAGGACGGCCCAGGCCAGAAGGAAGUUUAGACUGCAGACCCUCCAUCAGCAGGUCCCUUUCCCCACCCUUCCUAUUGGGUCACCUAGGCCAUUAACAAGGGUGCUAUUUUAGCAAGAAACUGAAAAUGAAAAGAGAAUCUGCCCUCCAAACAUGCUGAACACCUGUUUUAACACACAGCCCCACGGAGGGUCAGCAGUCCACUCAUGCUUUAAAGCGUUUGUGCCUAUUUAUUUUGAGACUGGCAGGGCCUGAGCCACAGCUUCCUGUAUUCUGCUUUGUCAGCACGAAAGAUUUGCUGCCAUAGGCAUGCUGAGCUCCCGCUGGGGCCUCCCUUCUCCUGGAGCCUGAUUGAGAUGAAAGUUCAUCCUAGCACUUAAAUGAAGAGACUUCUUCCAGCUCCCACUUCUGCCUCACCCCUCCGGCUCCCACUGACAAGCAGGCCUGGCUGCAAGUUGUGCUGGUCACCAGGACCUGGCCACCAGAGGGCGACAGAGAGCAACGAGGGCUGAACCAUUUACCAGAAGGAACCAAAUCCCCUGACACAUCUGCUCCGUCGUCCAGCCCAGAAACUGCCAGACUUGCUAGCAUUUGCCAGUCCAUCGAAACAUCUCACCUUCAUCCAAACUUUAUCAAGUUUGGAUGGGAAACAAAACAAUUAAUUUAAAAAAGCAGCACACAAGAAACUAAAUAUUAUUUAUGUCUCUAAUUAUCUUGUUCUGGUGGGUAUUUUAGUUACUCUCUGUCUGGUCAGGACAUUAAUUAUCUUCAUAACUACAGCAAAAGUUAAAUAAUAAGCACCCAAGGCUACAGCACUACUGUAAUGUGCAAGCUUAAAUGAACUUAUAAAUUUUAUUAAUGGAUGCUUUAUACAACUCCAUAUAUUAUAAAUCAAACAAGAAACCUAUUUCUAUCUUUUAAGGGUACGGUGAAAAAGCUUUAACAUUAUUGAGGAUAAUUUUUAUUAAGUUUAAAACUCCCUUUUUCCAGUAAUGAGACUGUUAUGAGGAUAAUUUAAUCUAGUUUGUCAUGAGGCACCCCGGCUUGUUAAAUAAGUUAAUAAAUGACUGUGCAUUAAUCAAAGUGACAAAGCUAUGAAGAGCCGGGGAUGGAAGACAAUUCUGGUGAUAGUAUUAAUUAGUAUUUAAUUAGAAACUUAGGGCCCAUAAAUAAAAAAAAAUCAUGGUAGAGACGUUUAUGCAAAUUGCUUGGAGCCUGCAGUGGAGUUAGCUUUGCUUUAAAGAAACAUGAUUUUUUUUUCUAACAUACUGUACACGGCAGCACUGUGGCCACAUCACGUGGCUUAAACGAGCUCUUCUUUUGUUUCCAAUUUGUUCCAAUUACAGGCCUGUAAAUUCAAAUCAUUCUUUUGACUGUCUUGAUUGAAAUGUAGAGUUCCCACAAUUUCUACUGGGAGUUCUGGGGGUUUUUUUC
This 2799-nucleotide long non-coding RNA is filed under the name Callithrix jacchus (white-tufted-ear marmoset). RNAcentral describes it as "lncRNA (ENSCJAG00000072411.1)". The record is from RNAcentral. Lineage: Eukaryota; Metazoa; Chordata; Mammalia; Primates; Cebidae.